RNAcentral lists this transfer RNA (61 nucleotides) under chicken gut metagenome. It matches the Rfam family "tRNA", at positions 8 to 63 of the family's 71-position model. Rfam says of the family: Transfer RNA (tRNA) molecules are approximately 80 nucleotides in length. The record is from RNAcentral.
CUUAGCUCAGUUGGUCAGAGCAACUGGCUCAUAACCAGUGGGUCCAAGGUUCGAAUCCUUG